Molecule: unclassified non-coding RNA, 392 nt
Filed under: Gynochthodes trimera
Lineage: Eukaryota; Viridiplantae; Streptophyta; Magnoliopsida; Gentianales; Rubiaceae
Description: partial external transcribed spacer
Source: RNAcentral
GUCCUUCCGUGCAUUCCUCCUCAGUCGUCGGCACAAGGGCGAGUUGCCUUGGCCGUGGCUGUCGGUUUCCUGUGUUGCAUACCUACGUAGACGGAAUUGUGUGCCAAUUCUUCCCACGUUCGCCUAGCGCUGCCCGUUCACACGGCGCGGCUACGGGCGAACCCCAAAGCGAGACCCGUGUUCCGCGACGCCCGCGCACCGCGCUUUCUCCGACCCUCGGGUUCCCGCUCGACCCCCGGGAUGCAAAAACGCUACGGGCACGGGGUCCCCGACCCCUUUUUGCCCACAAAAUUGGCGUCACACGCCACGUUCGAACGACGUUCGGCACCGCACAGACGCGACGCGCCUUGCGAACCCAUGCCGGUGAAGCCUGCAACCUGGUUGAUCCUGCA